GACGAACGCUGGCGGCGUGCUUAACACAUGCAAGUCGAACGGAAAGGCCCUGCUUUUGUGGGGUGCUCGAGUGGCGAACGGGUGAGUAACACGGGAGUAACCUGCCCUUGACUUUGGGAUAACUUCAGGAAACUGGGGCUAAUACCGGAUAGGAGCUCCUGCUGCAUGGUGGGGGUUGGAAAGUUUCGGCGGUUGGGGAUGGACUCGCGGCUUAUCAGCUUGUUGGUGGGGUAGUGGCUUACCAAGGCUUUGGCGGGUAGCCGGCCUGAGAGGGUGACCGGCCACAUUGGGACUGAGAUACGGCCCAGACUCCUACGGGAGGCAGCAGUGGGGAAUAUUGCACAAUGGGCGGAAGCCUGAUGCAGCAACGCCGCGUGCGGGAUGACGGCCUUCGGGUUGUAAACCGCUUUCGCCUGUGACGAAGCGUGAGUGACGGUAAUGGGUAAAGAAGCACCGGCUAACUACGUG
RNAcentral lists this ribosomal RNA (468 nucleotides) under uncultured bacterium. RNAcentral's name for it is "partial 16S ribosomal RNA". It matches the Rfam family "Bacterial small subunit ribosomal RNA", at positions 28 to 507 of the family's 1533-position model. The record is from RNAcentral.